Molecule: long non-coding RNA, 504 nt
Filed under: Rattus norvegicus (Norway rat)
Lineage: Eukaryota; Metazoa; Chordata; Mammalia; Rodentia; Muridae
Description: long non-coding RNA NONRATT012852
Source: RNAcentral
UUUAAAGCCAUCGCCCAAGGCACCGGGAGACACCAACCUCGGAGACAAGCCACGGAUGGCACCAUGUCACUCGGUAUCAAAGAGCACCCUGAUGCUGAGGUACAAAAGAACCGGGUACUAACCCUGGACGACUGGCAAGACAAGUGGGUGACCCGUCACAUCGCAUUCCAUCAGGAGCAAGGGCAUCAGCUAUUAAAGAAGCAUUUCGAUACAUUUCUUAAAGGGCAGAGUGGACUGAGAGUGUUUUACUUUUUCGAAAAAUUGUAUCUCCUUACUGAGAAGUAGGAAAAACAAAAACAAAAACAAAACCAGGCCAGUACCGGAGCACACCUUUUAUCCCAGCAGGCUAGCCUGGUCUACAGAGUGAGUUCCAAGACAGCCAGGAUACACAGAGAAACCUUGUCUAGAAAAACCAAAUAGAAAACCAACCAACCAACUUAACCAAAAAACACCCAGUCAAUCCCUGUAAGAGUUUCUGAACGAUUAAAAAUUCUGUUGAAGGUU